Columba livia (rock pigeon) is the source of this 1652-nucleotide long non-coding RNA. RefSeq lists it as uncharacterized. The transcript has 3 exons. The record is from RefSeq and is a predicted model, not a curated record. Lineage: Eukaryota; Metazoa; Chordata; Aves; Columbiformes; Columbidae.
GGUGCAGACCCAGGCUUCAUAAAGGUCCUGCAGAUGGUGCUUGGUUAGUGUUAGUGAGAUAGGAGAGUCAGGAGUGUUCCUUGGCUUCCACUUACUAAGGGAGUUUUCAAGCACAUACAAGAAUAAAAUGCAGUUUCAAAAAGCAUCAACCCUUUGGAUCCUGCCUGAGGAUGUGUUCAAGAAGAUAGACAAGCUAGAUAACAAGCUCUCUCUGAAGCAAUGGUAUGUGCGUCUCUUAUGCCAGUCACCUGUGGUAUGGUGGUUCUUUCCCUUUCUUUGGGCAACUAUGAAAGUACAGAGAAGAUUCAAGGUGUGCCCUGACCAUGUUUCUCUGCAGACCUCCGCACCAGCAACUGGGUGCAGGGUCCGUCCUCCUACCCUCUGUUACUGAGCACACCUCUUCUGGACAAGUGUCUUCAUCUGCCAUGGGACAGAACAGUCAGAGCAGACUUUGCUUUGGCCCAUAGAUACAACUGUGCAAGCAAGGCACAAGGAGACCUGAGAGAGCUGGGGAGAGGGUCCCGUGGCUGCUCUGAGCAUCCUGAAAGGACAACUACAAGCAGCCAAGCGCUCCUGGAACACCCCGAAUGGCUGAAGGUAAAUCUGAAGAACAAUGAACAAAAAAGGAGCUUUUUCAGUUGGGCAGGAAGAGAGCGAGGAAGAGAUGGUGCGUCCUCCUGUUUUGCAUGGACUUCUAACUGCAGCAAAAUGACUAAAGAACAGUGAAUAAUCACCCUUUCCUAAAGCCAGUUUUUGCAUUUGUUUUGUUGUAUAUAUGUAGUUGCUGUGCACUCUUGUGCUUAUAUUGUCUAAUUGUAUGCUGGGGAGAUGUGAAGUUUUACACAAGUCUGAACUUGAUCCAUCAUAUUCCAGUUAUGAUAAUAGCUAAUUAAGAGAAUGUGAAAUUAAAAUGCAUUCUUCUCUAGAGGGACCAAAAUGAGAAUACAGAAGAAAGCUAGAGAAAGAUAUAGUGAAAAGUAAUGCCCCUUAAUAUCCUAUUGAUUGAAAGUGCUUUUGAAAUACAAUAGAUAAAUAAAGGUAUUGGAAAGUCAGCUUAGAGAACAGCUGUGCAUGAAGAGCUAGCUAUCCUUUCUCUGUUGAAGUAGUUACAAAGUCUUUCCUGCUAUGUUAAUACUAUUAAUACUGUAGAUUCAAAAGGCUAGAUCUAGAAAAAUAAAUACUUUGUUUACUGUUUAUCAUCCUAUAUUCUGCCGAGGACUUCUCAGAACUACCGUGUUGUUGUGUUGUAGCAGCCCCCUUGUCACUGCAGGGCUGCACUAGACUGUGAGGCAGGCACACUGGGACUUGUUUUUCUAGUGAUUUCCAUUUUGGCUUCUGAGCUCCUUAAGAAAACACUAAGUCUAUAAAUCCUGAGCAACAUACUGUAUGUGAUGUCCGCUUGUACUUGUUGUGCUACAAUCUGCUUUCCACAGAAGUUUCUUCAGCCUAACAAAUAUUUGAUCCCUGUGCUUUCUACAUAAUGAAAUAUGUAUAUGUUGGUAUGAUUAUUUGGUCCCACUGUUUUAAGGUAAAUUUUGGGAAAUGGCAGCUUCAUGGUGGGGUGGGGUGGGGGUGAAGAGUUAAGCAAAUAAACAAAACCCCCUUGAACUGUUGAGCUAAUAUGGGAAAACACAUUAUUUCUGUAGCCAAUA